This 492-nucleotide ribosomal RNA is filed under the name uncultured bacterium. RNAcentral describes it as "partial 16S ribosomal RNA". It matches the Rfam family "Bacterial small subunit ribosomal RNA", at positions 29 to 507 of the family's 1533-position model. The record is from RNAcentral.
AGUGAACGCUGGCGGUAGGCCUAACACAUGCAAGUCGAACGGCAGCACAGUAAGAGCUUGCUCUUACGGGUGGCGAGUGGCGGACGGGUGAGGAAUACAUCGGAAUCUACUUUUUCGUGGGGGAUAACGUAGGGAACCUUACGCUAAUACCGCAUACGACCUACGGGUGAAAGCAGGGGAUCUUCGGACCUUGCGCGAUUGAAUGAGCCGAUGUCGGAUUAGCUAGUUGGCGGGGUAAAGGCCCACCAAGGCGACGAUCCGUAGCUGGUCUGAGAGGAUGAUCAGCCACACUGGAACUGAGACACGGUCCAGACUCCUACGGGAGGCAGCAGUGGGGAAUAUUGGACAAUGGGCGCAAGCCUGAUCCAGCCAUACCGCGUGGGUGAAGAGGGCCUUCGGGUUGUAAAGCCCUUUUGUUGGGAAAGAAAAGCAGCAGGUUAAUACCCCGCUGUUCUGACGGUACCCAAAGAAUAAGCACCGGCUAACUUCGUG